RNAcentral lists this long non-coding RNA (369 nucleotides) under Monodelphis domestica (gray short-tailed opossum). RNAcentral's name for it is "lncRNA (ENSMODG00000051351.1)". The record is from RNAcentral. Lineage: Eukaryota; Metazoa; Chordata; Mammalia; Didelphimorphia; Didelphidae.
AUGUGCAGAGAAGUCGAAAGAAAACAUCACUUCAUUCCAAAAGACCCAAUGAAUGUCAAGAGAUUCAGAUCAACCAGUUCCAGGAUCCAAAUGCAUGACUCAACCAAGUCCAACCAGACCUGCAGAGAGGAUCCCAGGUGCCAAGUGGUGCCUUGCUUUUCAGCCAAGGACAAGGAAAUUACUCCCUUUGAUCUUGGCCUCUAUGAGAAGGAAAUUCCUGGCCUUCAGCCCUGUGGCAUCACAGGGCACCCUUGGAACUUGGAGAUCAAUGGAAGUUAUGGAAUGUUGGAAUGAAGAUAAGCCAAACUGCUAAUUUCUUGUUCAUUCUCAUUAACAAAUAAGCAAAAUAAAAGUUUUUAUCAUGGAGCA